AUCAAAGGAUUUAAGGCUGACGGUGGAGACCUAGGUACCCAGAGACGAUGAAGGGCGUAGAUACCAGCGAUAUGCUUCGGUGAGCUGGAAACAAGCUUUGACCCGAAGAUCCCCGAAUAGGUCAACCUCUUGUACUUCCUAUUGAAUUCAUAUAUAGGAAAGAGACAACCCGGUGAAUUGAAACAUCUUAGUAGCCGGAGGAAAAGAAAGCAAAAGCGAUUCCCGUAGUAGCGGCGAGCGAAACGGGAACAGCCUAAACCCACUUUAUGUGGGGGUUGUGGGAGGACAUGAUUGGUUAGCAUAUAUUAGAUUAGCACUAAAAAAAAGCUAAUAUAUUAAUAAAAACGAGUCAUUUAACUGUUUGGUUUACCAAACACUAUAAAAAAAGAAAAACGAAGCAGCUGAAUCCUGCACCAUAGAAGGUGAAAGUCCUGUAGUUUAAAGCUUUAAUUUUGUCUUAUCCCGAGUAGCAUGGGGCACGUGAAAUCCCGUGUGAAUCUGCGAGGACCACCUCGUAAGGCUAAAUACUCCUGGGUAACCGAUAGCGAAAUAGUACCGUAAGGAAAAGGUGAAAAGAACCCUUUGCAGGGAGUGAAACAGAACAUGAAACCGUCAGCUGACAAGCAGUGGGAGGAUUUAAGAAUCUGACCGCAUGCCUGUUGAAGAAUGAGCCGGCGACUUAUAUGAAGUGGCUAGGUUAAGUUAACCCGGAGCCUAAGCGAAAGCGAGUCUGAAUAGGGCGAUAGAGUCACCUCAUAUGGACCCGAACCCGGGUGAUCUAACCAAGACCAAGAUGAAGCUAGAGUAACACCUAUUGGAGGUCUGAACUGACCGGUUUUGAAACAUCGGCAGAUGAGUUUUGGUUAGCUGGAGAAAUUCCAAUCGAACUCGGAGCUAGCUGGUUCUCCCCGAAAUGCGUUGAGGCGCAGCGGUCACGAUGAGCUACCAUAGGGUAAAGCACUGUUUCGAUGCGGGCUGCGAGAGCGGUACCAAAUCGUGGCAAACUCAGAAUAUAAGGUAUUGCUUUCCGUGCACCAGUGAGACUUAGGGGGAUAAGCUUCUAUGUCAAGAGGGAAACAGCCCAGAUCACCAGCUAAGGCCCCCAAAUGGCCGCUAAGUGGAAAAGGAUGUGAGAAUGCUCAAACAACUAGGAGGUUUGCUUAGAAGCAGCCACCCUUUAAAGAGUGCGUAAUAGCUCACUAGUUUAGCGCUCUUGCGCCGACAAUGGCCGGGACUAAGCGGCCUGCCGAAGCUGUGAGAUUUUUUUAUAAAAAAUCGGUAGGGGAGCGUUCUGCUUUGGGUGAAGCUUACACGUAAGUCUAAGUGGACAAUGCAGAAGUGAGAAUGUCGGCUUGAGUAACGAAAACAUUGGUGAGAAUCCAAUGCCCCGAAAACCUAAGGGUUCCUCUACAAGGCUCGUCCGUGGGGGGUUAGUCAGGACCUAAGGCAAGGCUGAAAAGCGUAGUCGAUGGCAAACAGGUUAAUAUUCCUGUACUCGUUUUAGUGGGAAUCGAGGGACGAAGGAGGCUAAACUGGAACUAUGUAUGGAUUCUAGUGCAAGCAUUCGAGGUUUUGAUAGGUAGAAAAAAAACUAUCCUAGAGCUGAGAUGUGAUGCUGUUUCAAAAACUUGUUUUUGAGACACCAGCUAUGUCAAACUUCCAAGAAAAGCUCGGGAACUUUUAACACUAAAAUGACCUGUACCUGAAACCGACACAGGUAGGUAGGUAGAGAAUACUAAGGGGCGCGAGAGAACUCUCUCUAAGGAACUCGGCAAAUUAGCCUCGUAACUUCGGAAGAAGAGGCGCCUUGGAGUGAUCCAAGGCCGCAGUGACCAGGCCCAUGCAACUGUUUAACAAAAACACAGGUCUCCGCUAAGUCGCAAGACGAUAUAUGGGGGCUGACGCCUGCCCAGUGCCGGAAAGUGAAGGAAGUUGGUCAUUUCUUUUUGAAAGAAGCUGACGACCGAAGCCCCGGUGAACGGCGGCCGUAACUAUAACGGUCCUAAGGUAAGCAAAAUUCAUUGUCGAGUAAGUUUCGACCUGCACGAAAGGCGUAAUGAUAUGGGCACUGUCUCAGAGAGAGACUCGGUGAAAUAGACAUAUUCGUGAAGAUGCGAAUUACAUUCACCUGGACAGAAAGACCCUAUGAAGCUUGACUGUAACCUGGAAUUGGGUUCGGGCUUUUCUUGCGCAGUCUAGGUGGGAGGCUUUGAAGGUUUCUUUCCGGAGGAACUGGAGCUGUUAUUGAGAGACCACUCUGGAAAAGCUAGAAUCCUAAUGGUGAUCCUUGAAUCAGGACACUUGACAGUUUCAGGCGGGCAGUUUAUUUGGGGCGAAUACCUCAUAAAAGGUAACUGAGGCGUGCAAAGGUUCCCUCAGUCUGGACGGAAAUCAGACGUGGAGUGUAAAGGCAAAAGGGAGCUUGACUGUAAGACAAACAAGUCGAGCAGGGGCUAAAGCCGGCCUUAGUGAUCCGACGGUGCCGAGUGGAAGGGCCGUCGCUCAACGGAUAAAAGUUACUCUAGGGAUAACAGGCUGAUCUUAUCCAAGAGUUCACAUCGACGAUAAGGUUUGGCACCUCGAUGUCGGCUCAUCACAGCUCGGAGGGGUAGUACCUUCCAAGAGUUGGGCUGUUCGCCCAUUAAAGUGGUACGUGAGCUGGGUUCAGAACGUUGCGGAGACAGUUCGGUCCAUAUCCGGUGAAUGCGUUAGAAUAUUGAAGACAUUCUACAAUAGUACGAGAGGACCUUGUAGAACGUGCCUAUAGUGUAUCAGUUAUCUUUCCAAAGGUAAACGCUGAGUAGCCACGCACGGGUCUGUACCUUUUCGAGGUAUGGAGUGAAUAACCGCUGAAAGCAUCUAAGUGGGAAGUCUUGUCUAAGAUGAAUAUUCUCUAUGAGACCACGGGAAGAUAACCCGAUACAUAGGAAUCAAGUGUAAGGCUAGUAAUAGUUGCAGCUGAGAUUUACUAAAGGUCCAUCGAUUUUGAU
RNAcentral lists this ribosomal RNA (2990 nucleotides) under Microspora sp. UTEX LB472. Its description in RNAcentral is "large subunit ribosomal RNA". It matches the Rfam family "Bacterial large subunit ribosomal RNA". Lineage: Eukaryota; Viridiplantae; Chlorophyta; Chlorophyceae; Microsporaceae. The record is from RNAcentral.